AUGUACCACGCGUACACGCGGUUCUGAGCGUGCCGUCCGCACCGCCCGGCGACUGCUCGCUGCGUUUUGUUAGCC
RNAcentral lists this small RNA (75 nucleotides) under Xanthomonas vasicola. Its description in RNAcentral is "sX9 sRNA". It matches the Rfam family "Xanthomonas sRNA sX9". Lineage: Bacteria; Pseudomonadati; Pseudomonadota; Gammaproteobacteria; Lysobacterales; Lysobacteraceae. The record is from RNAcentral. RNAcentral also lists the same sequence under 7 other names.